RNAcentral lists this ribosomal RNA (467 nucleotides) under uncultured bacterium. RNAcentral describes it as "bacterial SSU rRNA". It matches the Rfam family "Bacterial small subunit ribosomal RNA", at positions 8 to 518 of the family's 1533-position model. The record is from RNAcentral.
AGAGUUUGAUUAUGGCUCAGAACGAACGCUGGCGGCAGGCCUAACACAUGCAAGUCGAGCGCGCCCUUCGGGGUGAGCGGCGGACGGGUUAGUAACGCGUGGGAACGUACCCUUUGGUAGGGAAUAGCCACUGGAAACGGUGAGUAAUACCCUAUGAGCCCUUCGGGGGAAAGAUUUUAUCGCCAAAGGAUCGGCCCGCGUUAGAUUAGGUAGUUGGUGGGGUAAUGGCCUACCAAGCCUACGAUCUAUAGCUGGUUUUUAGAGGAUGAUCAGCAACACUGGGACUGAGACACGGCCCAGACUCCUACGGGAGGCAGCAGUGGGGAAUCUUGGACAAUGGGGGCAACCCUGAUCCAAGCCAUGCCGCGUGAGUGAAGAAGGCCUUAGGGUCGUAAAGCUCUUUCGCCUGUGAAGAUAAUGACGGUAGCAGGUAAAGAAACCCCGGCUAACUCCGUGCCAGCAGCUGC